GUGUGCUGAUCUUCAGAUAUGUGCACGCCUCGUUCCAAAUUUUUAUCACCCUGUGCACUUUUUUGUAGACUGAGAAAUUGGUCUAUGUUUUUCAAAUACCCUUAUAAAAAUGUUUUGAAUGUUAUUCUAAAUAAUAAUACAACUUUCAACAACGGAUCUCUUGGCUCUCGCAUCGAUGAAGAACGCAGCGAAACGCGAUAAGUAAUGUGAAUUGCAGAAUUCAGUGAAUCAUCGAAUCUUUGAACGCACCUUGCGCUCCUUGGUAUUCCGAGAAGCAUGCCUGUUUGAGCGUCAUUAAAUUCUCAACCCUUUGAAUUUUUUU
RNAcentral lists this ribosomal RNA (322 nucleotides) under Hygrophorus piceae. RNAcentral's name for it is "partial 28S ribosomal RNA". The stretch from base 141 to 294 matches the Rfam family "5.8S ribosomal RNA". The record is from RNAcentral. Lineage: Eukaryota; Fungi; Basidiomycota; Agaricomycetes; Agaricales; Hygrophoraceae.